RNAcentral lists this long non-coding RNA (1167 nucleotides) under Marmota monax (woodchuck). Lineage: Eukaryota; Metazoa; Chordata; Mammalia; Rodentia; Sciuridae. The record is from RNAcentral.
AAAAACAAGACAAUUCAGGAAAGGGACAAAAGAGGAAGGCUGCCUGUGAAAGGAGUAAGGAGUUUGAUAUUAUCCUGGAAUUGGGGAUGUUGCAAAGGAUUAAGGGCAUGCCAUGCUGAAAUUUAAACUUACUUCAUGAAGCUCUUCUAUAAGCUGAAGAUGCAGUAGGCCAGAGAUGACAACUGGCAGCCCAUGAUUGUUGGUUUUGGCCCAGGUUGGUUUUGUUUUGUUUUGCUUUUGGAGUUGUCAACAGAAGCACUUGGAGCCACUAGAAGUUAGUUUAAAAACCAUUUGGCAGUGCCUUUCAAAGGUAAACACUCUGUGACCCUAAUUCAACUCCUUGAAAUGUACUCAAUAAAUAUGCUUAUACCCUUUCACCACAAAACAUGAAGGUACCAUAUUCAUAGCUGAACUAUUUGUCAGAAGCCCAAACAGAGCAACCUAAAUACCUGUCAACAGAAAGAUGGAUAAACAAAUGGAACUCUAUUGGCAUUGAGAAUGAGCCAUCUGCAACCACACUCAACAACAUGGAUGCAUCUUACACAUACAGUAUAAGGAGAAAGACACCAGGUCUAAGAGUACAUACCAUGUGAACUAGUCUCUUAAGAGUCAGAGGGCUGGGGGCUGGGGAUGUGGCUCAAGCCAUAGCAUGCUCGCCUGGCAUGCGUGGGGUGCACUGGGUUCGAUCCUCACAACCACAUAAAAAUAAAAUAUGUUCUGUCCACCGAAAACUAAAAAAGUAAAAAAAAGAGGGCUGGGUUUGUGGCUCAAUGUAGAGCGCUUCCUAGCAUUUAUGAGGCACUGGGUUCUAUCCCCAACACCACAUUAAAAAGAACUAACAAAAGUAUUGUGUCCAUCUACAGCUAAAAAAAAAUAGAAGAGUCAGGGUAGAGAUUCUUGACUGGCAUGAGGUAGGGAGGUAGUGACUGGAGGAGAGAGCAAUAGAGAACUUUAGGAAGCAGGUCAUAGAUUUUGUUCUAUUCUUUUCUCCCCUCUAUUUCGCACACUGUUUGAAUGUUUCCUUUCUUCACUUAACAGAGGAGAGUGUUUCCUAUCAGUCCUUAAAAGACCCGUCCUUCUUUUUUGUUGACUGCAUUGCAUUCCAUUGUAGAGAUGUACUAUUGUUUAAAGCUUGUAGUAAAACACAUAUUAGCCAUCUUGCCAUCU